RNAcentral lists this ribosomal RNA (1123 nucleotides) under Meneristes sp. NLG-2012. RNAcentral's name for it is "partial 16S ribosomal RNA". Lineage: Eukaryota; Metazoa; Arthropoda; Insecta; Coleoptera; Tenebrionidae. The record is from RNAcentral.
UUGAUAAUCCACGAUAAUUAUUACUUUGGCUUUAAAUUUACAUAUCGUCGUUAAUAAAAAUUUUUGGAUAUAAUUUUUUCAGAUCAAGGUGUAGUUUAUGUUGAAGAUAAAAUGGGUUACAUUAGAAAGCUUUAAUAAAAUGGAUUUGGAAGUAAGCUCUAAAAUAUGCACAUAUCGCCCGUCGCUUUCACUUUAAGGUGAAAUAAGUCGUAACAAAGUAGGCUUAUUGGAAAAUGAGCCUGGAAUGCAAAUUAGAGCUUGUUAAGCAUUUUAUUUACAUUAAAAGGUUAAUUGUGAAAUUCAAUUUAAUUUGAAAUUUUGGGGUUAUUAUUGUUGUUUUUUUGUUUUUUUUAGAAGAAGAAUAUUUUUUUUUAUUUUUUAUUUGAAAAAAUAUUAUAAUAGUUUAAUGUAUUGGGAUAGAAAUUUUUUAUUUUUGUUAAAGAAUACUUUUUUUUGUAGUACCUUGUGUCUCAGGGUUUAUUUAAUUAAUUUUCCCGAAUUUAAAAGAGCUAAUUUUACUGUUGAAUAAGUAUUUAUAAUUUUCUUUUUGUAAUGAAACGUUAUUCGUUUUUAAAUAUAUCUGGGUUUUUAAGAAAUUAAUUUAAUUUAGUGGAUGAGAAGUAAAAUUAUUAGGGGAUAAGCUUUUAGAUUAAUUUUUAUAAUAUUUUUUUCCUUAAAAAUAUAUAGGAUUAGAAUUUUCCAUUUUUUAGAGGAUGUUAUAAUUAAUGUAGGUUUUUUAUUUAAAUUUUAACUUUAAUUUUUUUGCUAAGUAAUUUUGAUAAAAUUAGUAAGGCUAAUUUAAGGAAUUCGGCAAAAUUAAUUUUCACCUGUUUAUUAAAAACACCUCUUUUUGUUUAUUAUUUAAGGUCUAACCUGCCCAAUGAUUAAAUGGCCGCAGUAUUUUGACUGUGCAAAGGUAGCAUAAUCAUUAGUUUCUUAAUUAGAAGCUGGAAUCAAUGGUUUAAUGAGAAAUUAACUGUCUCUAGAAUUUUAUUUUUGAGUGAAAAAGCUUAAAUUUUUUAUAAAGACGAGAAGACCCUAUAGAGUUUUUUUGUUGGGGUGAUGCUAAAAUUUAAUAAACUUUUAAUUUUUAUGGUUAGAUGAUCCUAGAUUAUAAGAUAAA